Molecule: ribosomal RNA, 301 nt
Filed under: uncultured bacterium
Lineage: Bacteria
Description: partial 16S ribosomal RNA
Rfam family: Bacterial small subunit ribosomal RNA
Source: RNAcentral
CAGUAGCCGCGGGAAUACGAAGGGUGCAAGCGUUACUCGGAAUUACUGGGCGUAAAGCGUGCGUAGGCGGUGAGUUAAGUCUGCUGUGAAAUCCCCGGGCUCAACCUGGGAAUGGCAGUGGAUACUGGCUCGCUAGAGUGUGUCAGAGGAUGGUGGAAUUCCCGGUGUAGCAGUGAAAUGCGUAGAGAUGUGGAGGAACACCGAUGGCGAAGGCAGCCCCCUGGGCCAAUACUGACGCUCAUGCACGAAAACGUGGGGAGCAAACAGGAUUAGAUACCCCUGUAGUCCCUGUCUCUUAUAC